UGCCACAGCAGACUGAUCUCGCC
Molecule: non-coding RNA, 23 nt
Filed under: Mus musculus (house mouse)
Lineage: Eukaryota; Metazoa; Chordata; Mammalia; Rodentia; Muridae
Source: RNAcentral